AUUGAACGCUGGCGGCAGGCCUAACACAUGCAAGUCGAGCGGAGCGGCGGACGGGUGAGUCAUGCUUAGGAAUCUGCCUGGCAGUGGGGGAUAACGUCCGCAAACGGGCGCUCACACCGCAUACCAUCAGAUGAGCCUAUGCCGGAUUAGGUAGUUGGUGGGGUAAAGGCCUACCAAGGCGACGAUCCCUGGCUGGUCUGAGAGGAUGAUCAGCCACACUGGGACUGAGACACGGCCCAGACUCCUACGGGAGGCAGCAGUGGGGAAUAUUGCACAAUGGGCGCAAGCCUGAUGCAGCCAUGCCGCGUGUAUGAAGAAGGCCUUCGGGUUGUAAAGUACUUUCAGUCGGGAGGCGUUACCGACAGAAGAAGCACCGGCUAACUCCGUGCCAGCAGCCGCGGUAAUAC
This 407-nucleotide ribosomal RNA is filed under the name uncultured bacterium. RNAcentral describes it as "partial 16S ribosomal RNA". It matches the Rfam family "Bacterial small subunit ribosomal RNA", at positions 30 to 526 of the family's 1533-position model. The record is from RNAcentral.